GCCCCCAUUCUAAUGGUUUAGGACAUCUCUCUUUCAAGGAGGCAACGGGGAUUUGAAUUCCCCUGGGUGUA
This 71-nucleotide transfer RNA is filed under the name Capsicum annuum. It matches the Rfam family "tRNA". Rfam says of the family: Transfer RNA (tRNA) molecules are approximately 80 nucleotides in length. Their secondary structure includes four short double-helical elements and three loops (D, anti-codon, and T loops). Lineage: Eukaryota; Viridiplantae; Streptophyta; Magnoliopsida; Solanales; Solanaceae. The record is from Rfam by way of RNAcentral.